This 253-nucleotide ribosomal RNA is filed under the name uncultured bacterium. RNAcentral's name for it is "partial 16S ribosomal RNA". It matches the Rfam family "Bacterial small subunit ribosomal RNA", at positions 524 to 776 of the family's 1533-position model. The record is from RNAcentral.
UACAGAGGUCCCGAGCGUUGUUCGGAUUCAUUGGGCGUAAAGGGUGCGUAGGCGGCGGGGCAAGUCUGAUGUGAAAUCCCGGGGCUCAACCCCGGAACUGCAUUGGAUACUGCCUUUCUUGAGUACUGGAGAGGGAACUGGAAUUUACGGUGUAGCAGUGAAAUGCGUAGAGAUCGUAAGGAAGGCCAGUGGCGAAGGCGAGUUCCUGGACAGUUACUGACGCUGAGGCACGAAGGCCAGGGGAGCAAACGGG